UUGACCUCAAAUCAGGUAGGACUACCCGCUGAACUUAAGCAUAUCAAUAAGCGGAGGAAAAGAAACUAACAAGGAUUCCCCUAGUAACUGCGAGUGAAGCGGGAAAAGCUCAAAUUUAAAAUCUGGCGGUCUUGCGGCCGUCCGAGUUGUAAUCUGGAGAAGCGUUUAUCCGCGUCGGACCGUGUACAAGUCUUCUGGAAGGGAGCGUCGUAGAGGGUGAGAAUCCCGUCUUUGACACGGACAACCGGUGCUUUUGUGAU
This 260-nucleotide ribosomal RNA is filed under the name uncultured Piloderma. RNAcentral describes it as "partial 28S ribosomal RNA". It matches the Rfam family "Eukaryotic large subunit ribosomal RNA", at positions 1 to 250 of the family's 3401-position model. Lineage: Eukaryota; Fungi; Basidiomycota; Agaricomycetes; Atheliales; Atheliaceae. The record is from RNAcentral.